This is a long non-coding RNA of Oncorhynchus kisutch (coho salmon), 1381 nucleotides long. RefSeq lists it as uncharacterized. Lineage: Eukaryota; Metazoa; Chordata; Actinopteri; Salmoniformes; Salmonidae. The transcript is spliced from 2 exons. The record is from RefSeq and is a predicted model, not a curated record.
UUCAGUCUCCCCUGUUUUCUCAGCGGCAGCCAUGUAAGCUGCAGUCUCGUCGCAAAACUAAGACCGUCGCCAAAACUACGACGGUUAUGCUGAGUUAUUCUGCCGAGUUUUUCGAGGAAGGAAAGAGAAGAAGCCCUUGUUUGCAGCCCUUCUGACAAUCAUGUGGCCACAUGCAUCUCUGCAUGGCUGGCAGGCAUCUCAGUUUGGAUAUCGGCCCACCACCUCAAGCUCAACCUCGUCAAGACGGAGCUGCUCUUCCUCCCGGAGAAGGCCUGCCCACUCCAUGACCUUGACAACUCCACAGUGUCCCCCUCCCAGAGUGCAAAGAACCUUGGCGUGACCCUGGACAACACCCUGUAGUUCUCUGGAACAUCAAAGCAGUGACUCGCUCCUGCAGGUUCAUGCUCUACAACAUCCGUAGAGAAGGACCCUACCUCACACAGGAAUUCCUAAUCCAGGCACUUGUCAUCUCCCAUCUGGAGUACUGCAACUCGCUGUUGGCUGGGCUCCCCGCUUGUGCCAUCAAACCCCUGCAAUUUAUACAGAAUGUUGCAGCCUGCCUGGUGUUCAACCCCGCACACUUCACUGGUUUCCAGUCAAGGCUCUCAUCCACUACAAGACCAUGGUACUUUACUACGGAGCAGCAAGAGGAACUGCCCCUCCCUACCUUCAGGCUAUGCUCAAACCCUACACCCCAUCCCGAGCACUCCAUUCUACCACCUCUGGUCUCUUGUCUCCCGCUCAGCCCAGUCUAAGCUCUUCUCUGUCCUUGCACCCCAAUGGUGUUACCAGCUUCCCCCUGAAGCUAGGACAGCAGAGUCCCUGCCCAUCUUCCAAAAACAUCUGAAACCCUACCUCUUCAAAGAGUACCUUAAAUAAUCCCACAGAAAAUGGAUGGCCGCUGUUUAUUUUAUUUUCACUAUUAUUUAUUUUUUACAUUUUUUUCUAUUUUACCUUUAUUUAUACAGGUUUUUUCUCAUUGAGAUAAUAUCUCUUUUCCAAGAGAGACCUGGUCCAAUUCUCACGACAUCCACCGAAGGUGUUUCCUAUCCCUGUUCGGGUGGCGCUCGGCGGUCGUCGUUGACGGUCUACUAGCUGCCACCGAUCCUUUUUCCUUUUCAUUUGGUUAUGUCUGUUUUGUGUUUCACCUGGUUUCAUUUUGGUUAAUUAGGGGGGGUAUUUAUCUCGACAUUCUCUUUGGGUUUUUAUGCGGGAUUGUUUUCGUUUGACUGUCAGUUAGUUUUGGGUUGGAUUUUCUUUAGUUCAUUUUUAACAGGUGGUUUUUCCCUGGACUGUGUCUGAGUGGGGUUUUGUGGCUACUGUUGUAGUCCGGUGACCUGUUAUUUUGAGCUUGUUUAAUAAAACGCCCUUUUCCUUCGGA